GUAAAUAUUUGUUGAGUAAAUAAAUAAAUAAGCUCUUUUAGUUUGCUGGGUAUGCCACAACAAAAUACCAUAGACUGGAAUGCUGAAGGAACAGAAAUUCAUUUUCUCACAGAGAAGAAAUUCAGUAAACACAAUGCAUUUUAAUUGGGAAAAAAAUCAAGAAAUUACUUCAAAUGCCAGUAUUUGUACAAGAAAACUUGUUAAGAGUCUGCAGCAGUUCUCCUGAGAGCCCUUUACAAGCAUAUGGAGCAAGCCAUCCUUAGAGAAAGUGUGAAGAAGGAAGGGUAGCAGAGAAGAGGGGAAAAUGGGAACAAACCUCUGGAGCAUCUACACCCAAGGGCAGCCUUCAGACUUUAAAACCUAAUUAUAUAGACAGGCUUAGUAAAAACUUUUCAUAAAGUAUCAUAAAAGAGAAGCAGAAUCCUGCAGUGGAGGAAAGCAGAUGCCAGAAGAAAGUGGCCCUGUGCCCGAGUACCUGCCCGCCACACCCACCUGUGAUCUGGACAAGUUAUGUAACCUUUCAGAACCUAUUUCUUCUUCUGUAGACAAAUAGUAAUUGGAGAUUAAAAGAAAUAAGGUAAGAAGAGAGCUUUGCACAGUGGCUAGAGAACAAUAAAUAUUCAGUACAUGGCAGUGAAAAAGAAGGAAAUGAAUGAAACAUGCUAAAUAUGUGAUUGUCUCAUGUUAAUUUAUGAUUACAGAUCUAUGGUUCAUUGUCACAUAGUUAACUACUGGUUCAGAGCAGGAGAUAUAACAUGGAAUCAUCAUCAUCUUCUUGUUCAUUAUCAUUAGCAACCUUGUGUAAUUUAUAUUCAUUGAAGAUUUAUACUGAGAGACGAUAUACUUGAAGUUUUAUACACAUGAUCUCAUUUAAUGCCCCCACUACGCACAUACACACACACACACAUACACUUUAUGAGGUAGGU
RNAcentral lists this long non-coding RNA (926 nucleotides) under Equus caballus (horse). Its description in RNAcentral is "lncRNA (ENSECAG00000044256.1)". Lineage: Eukaryota; Metazoa; Chordata; Mammalia; Perissodactyla; Equidae. The record is from RNAcentral.